CCGAGAAAAGCCUCUAGCGAGGACACACACGGCCCGUACCCCAAAACCGACACAGGUGGUCAGGUAGAGAAUACCGAGGCGUACGAGUGAACUAUGGUUAAGGAACUCGGCAAAAUACCCCCGUAACUUCGGGAGAAGGGGGACCCCAACACCGUCAACCGGCGUGCCCGGGGCAGCGGGAUGGGGUGGCACAAACCAGUGAGAAGCGACUGUUUAUUAAAAACACAGGUCCGUGCGAAGUCGCAAGACGAGGUAUACGGACUGACGCCUGCCCGGUGCUGGAAGGUUAAGAGGACCCGUCAAUCCCGCAAGGGGUGAAGCGGAGAAUUUAAGCCCCAGUAAACGGCGGUGGUAACUAUAACCAUCCUAAGGUAGCGAAAUUCCUUGUCGGGUAAGUUCCGACCUGCACGAAUGGCGUAACGACUUCUCAACUGUCUCAACCAUAGACUCGGCGAAAUUGCAUUACGAGUAAAGAUGCUCGUUACGCGCGGCAGGACGAAAAGACCCCGGGACCUUCACUACAACUUGGUAUUGGAGUUCGAUACGGUUUGUGUAGGAUAGGUGGGAGACGUAUG
RNAcentral lists this ribosomal RNA (575 nucleotides) under uncultured bacterium. RNAcentral describes it as "bacterial LSU rRNA". It matches the Rfam family "Bacterial large subunit ribosomal RNA", at positions 1608 to 2160 of the family's 2925-position model. The record is from RNAcentral.